CCUACGGGAGGCAGCAGUAGGGAAUUUUCGUCAAUGGGCGCAAGCCUGAACGAGCAAUGCCGCGUGAACGAGGAAGGUCUUCGGAUCGUAAAGUUCUGUUGAAGGGGAAAAAGAGCGGAGAGAGGAAAUGAACUCCGAUUGAUAUUACCCUUCGAGGAAGUCACGUCUAACUACGUGCCAGCAGCCGCGGUAAUACGUAGGUGGCGAGCGUUAUCCGGAAUGAUUGGGCGGAAAGGGUGUGUAGGCGGCCUGCUAAGUCUGGAGUGAAAGGUACCGGCUCAACCGGUACAGGCUCUGGAAACUGGCGGGUUAGGGGGGAGGAGAGGGCAGUGGAAGUCCAUGGGUAACGGUAGAAUGGGU
RNAcentral lists this ribosomal RNA (360 nucleotides) under uncultured bacterium. RNAcentral's name for it is "partial 16S ribosomal RNA". It matches the Rfam family "Bacterial small subunit ribosomal RNA", at positions 338 to 691 of the family's 1533-position model. The record is from RNAcentral.